UCAGCCCCAAUCUAUGCCGUGAUGUUUUUCAUGUUUGAACUCCUUCUUGCCGCAGGCCGCAGGUCACCGAGUUUCACCUGGGCGCAGCUUGUGCUCACCUCAGCCGUGUCGUGCCUCGCCGUCAUGGCGCCCCACCUCUUCCCGGCGUGCUUCGCCUUGGCCGUUUCGACGACGUGAGGACCUGCUUGCCGCGCAGGAGUUUUCCGCGUGGGACCCUGCCUAGACGCGGGACCUCUACCCGCUCGCCGUCUCCUUCCUCGGGGCCGCCAGCGAGCUCGCACUCACGGAGGCUGCCGUCGAGGAAUAUCUUGUGCCAGCCUCCGCGUCCAUUACGCCGCGGGCAACGCCUUCGUGCGCCGCUACGCGGGCUCCGGCACCUUCUGGCAGAUGGACGCGACGGUUGGCCGGCUUUGGAGGUCCGACCUCCUCAUCUCCUCCGCGUCGAUGUAUAUCAGCCGCUAGACGUACUGCAGGCUCGGCGAGUUCGCGAGCGGCGUCAUCCUCGGCAGCUGGGGCGUCGGCAAUCUGGUAUGGAAUUUCGGCUGGACCUCACUACCCGACAGGAUGCAAUUCUUCUGCUGCAGCCGGAGGGGCUUCUCUUCUCGCUCUGUUGUUUGCUUGAUUCGACUCCUUCAUGUCCAAAGAAUGGUCUUGCCCACCACAUGUUCGUUUGAAUGAACCAACAAUUUGGGCCUGGAUGCUUACCGACUGAAUUUCUGUUUGUCCCAUGUCUCUUAGUUGAAGUUUUGGUUUUUUACAGGUAUACAUACUCUUGCUCUACAAGAUUUUUGGAUGCAGCUCAUAUAAUUCGUUGUGUUGACUUAUCAAACAUGACAUUAUUGCUGGUGUUCUGUAGGUGAAAAUUUUGUUGCUUGAACUAUAUUCUUGGCCACUGUGGUAUGGUUAGCUGAAAAUAAUAAUGCUACAAUGAAACAAAGGUAAUUAUUGUUUGGUACAAGAAAACCCGUUGGUGAUUUUGAAGGAACUUUCAUAAAGGAGGGUACUGAUAAAACGGCACUAUUUUUAUGCAACCAAAACAAUUUGUAGUCUACCUAAAGACACGUUAUGGGCUAUCAUGGUUUCCUUAUUUAAGAUUUGCUAAGCUAGCUACGUGUUAUUGCUGAGUGCGCACUAUCGUUUAUAUAUAACGUAAUGGGGAUGUAUCUAAAUACGAUCUACUGCUCCUGGAAAAAAGUGUUAGUCCAUCGGACUUUCUUUGAAGGUUCUUGGUUUUUGUGCCAAGCCUCUUUUUUGUACAUAUGCAACUUCUUACAAUGUUUUUGUAUAGUUCUGUUGUCAUGAGUUCAUGACGGUAUGGUGUUACGUAUAUAUGUUAUUCUAUCCUAUGCUCCUUUUUAUGUUGUUAGAUUAUACUAAUUUUGGUUUCUCUUUUCCCUAUUUCACAGUAUGGUUGUUCAGUCUUUCAGAGUGUGGACUGCCUGUGUUGAAGUUAUUGUAUUUCCAACUAACUAUUAUGGGAUGUGUGUGUAAACGGCCUUUUAAUGUUCAAGGAUUGAGUCAUGCACUCAUUCUACGAUGUUGGCGCCUGGCGGUACGUCAGUAUAUCUUGCGACAGAAUUGUCGCCGAACAGCAAGUUGGCAUCACUUUGCUAGGAAGUCGUUGGAGGUGGUUGAUUUUAAUUAGGUUUAUAUGUUGAAUAGAUUAAUGAUAUAUUUUUUUAUUUCGAGUUUGGUUUUAUGGAUUGCGGCAUGUACAAAAAAUUUGCACUCAAAUAUUCAUUGAAAUAUUAUUAUCUAUUCUGAUUUACUACCAUAUUGGGGUGACUAUUGAUUUACAACUAGAUGUCGAGCUGCCAUUUAGUAUCAGUUAUCUAUAUGAUGUCAAUUUCUUGCAUGCCUUCUUACUUGCUCAUAAUGAGCGAAAAAUCAUGGUUGUUCUAGAUGUAUUUUGCAAAGGACAUGAAUGUCAUAUUUGUUGCCAACAAGAUCCCUUCACGUGUUCCCACUAGGCUCUUUCCCCCACUCCCCUAGGAGCCCCAAUCACUGCAGCAUUGGACAGUAGCUAAGGUCUGUUAUGACGUGGAAGGAUAGGGCUUCUUUGAUCUGAACCAUGCCUUAUUUUAGAAGUUAUAGGCACAUGUGUGUACUAUGCAACAUAAUCCCUGCUUAAACUUUUUUACUGUGACUCAUGCUAUUAGUCUAUACAAUUAAAUCAAUAUUGGAUAUGAGAAACUAGGCGAGGGCGACGCGCCGUGGAAGAAGCUCAGCGUCCCUCUCAUGUUCGCUCCGAUGAGAAGUUAUUUAAAUUCAGGUGGUUGCAAUGGGCCAUGAAGACUGUGGCGGGUGAUAACACCAACAAUUCAGGCAACAACCUUCCCUGUUUACUGCAAUUAUAUCUUCUUGGAAGAAGUUAUCUGGCAAGCUAAACAUAGCAAGAAAAGGUGACUGGGACAUACUGUCAACCAUCCUUGUCGUUGCCAUCAUCAGAGACCAUUUGCACGUGUGUGCCAUGGGAUGGCAUUGGUAAAAUUUCCUGGUCUUUAGUUCGCUACCCUGCUUUCGAAUUACUCUGCACUAUGGAAAGCAAGGGAGAUAGCAUUUCUAUCUAGACUAGAUAUUCUUGCCAAGGAAGAUACUAUCACCAACGUUGGUGCCUAAACUCCUUGGUCAGCUGAAUUCGAAUUAAGAAACUUAGUCUUAAUUGUAGAUGCUAGCGACGGUGUUACCACACAAAGAUUAUACAUUGUUAUACUGAAAAAAGGUAGGUAGGAGAGGUGCAGGGUGUCUCUUUCGAUGAUGAAGAUUAGUCAUUAGGUAUCAGAACUCUGUCACUUACGUGGGAAGUUCAGUGUUUCUUUUUUUUUUGUAGGGAGCGUCGAUGGCUGGAGAUUGUUGAAGCACUUUGGUUAUACGAAUCAGAUGCUAACAGAUUUUCAUUAAAUACUACUGGCUGUUUGACUGAAACAGAAGUUAUUUAAAUUCAGAUGUGUUCUUCCUCUGAACUCUUUGCUCAAUGAAGGCACUAUGUUCCCUCCCGGGAUAUAGUAAGGUCGUAUGUUCUCUAAGAGUUUGUGUAAGGAAGCAGGUGAACUAUUUUUCUUCUUCUAGAUAACAUGUAGUCCUCCUAUACAAAGAAUAACUGCAGAAAUCUUAUAUGUAUAUCCUAUAUCUAAGAAAUCAGCCAUAUAACGUGAUCAAAUUAAUCGAAGCAAACCGAUGUUACUCCUGUUGGUAUAUUUAAUCACUUUUGCUCCCCGGGCCAUACCGUUUGUCUGACCACCGGUUUGGCAGCAUGGUGUUGCUGAACGUCUAGAAAUCCAUGAUCAGAGGAAAGAAACCUGCAGUUGAUGUGUUUAGAUCGUUGCCUAUGGUCAGUUUUUUACUGCUUGGGGGAAACAAAGUGCACUUGAGAAUUCGUAAAGUUCAUGAACUCUGAUGGC
Molecule: non-coding RNA, 3401 nt
Organism: Lolium perenne
Lineage: Eukaryota; Viridiplantae; Streptophyta; Magnoliopsida; Poales; Poaceae
Source: RefSeq, a predicted model, not a curated record